GCGCCUGUAGUUCAAUGGACAGAACGCAUGGUUGCGGUCCAUGUGGUUGGGGGUUCGAUUCCCUCCAGGCGCG
Molecule: transfer RNA, 73 nt
Filed under: Candidatus Daviesbacteria bacterium RIFCSPHIGHO2_01_FULL_40_11
Lineage: Bacteria; Candidatus Daviesiibacteriota
Also listed under: 1 other name
Description: tRNA-Arg
Rfam family: tRNA
About the family: Transfer RNA (tRNA) molecules are approximately 80 nucleotides in length.
Source: RNAcentral